CGAACGAAGCAGAAGGAUGCUUGCAUCUUUUUGACUGAGUGGCGGACGGGUGAGUAACGUGUGGAGAACCUACCUUACACAGGGGGAUAACGGCUGGAAACGGCUGCUAAUACCGCAUAAGCAUACAGCUUCGCAUGAAGCCGUGUGAAAAGAAGUAUCGGUGUAAGAUGGCUCCGCAUCUGAUUAGCUAGUUGGUGAGGUAAUGGCUCACCAAGGCAACGAUCAGUAGCCGGCCUGAGAGGGCGACCGGCCACAUUGGGACUGAGACACGGCCCAGACUCCUACGGGAGGCAGCAGUGGGGAAUCUUGCACAAUGGGGGAAACCCUGAUGCAGCAACGCCGCGUGAGCGAAGAAGUAUUUCGGUAUGUAAAGCUCUAUCAGCAGGGAAUAGAAAAGAAGGUACCUGACUAAGAAGCCCCGGCUAACUACGUGCCAGCAGCCGCGGUAAUACGUAGGGGGCAAGCGUUAUCCGGAUUUACUGGGUGUAAAGGGAGCGUAGACGGCUGUUUAAGUCAGAAGUGAAAGCCCAUUGCUUAACGAUGGGACUGCUUUUGAAACUAAAGAGCUAGAGUGCAGGAGAGGUAAGUGGAAUUCCUAGUGUAGCGGUGAAAUGCGUAGAGAUUAGGAGGAACACCAGUGGCGAAGGCGGCUUACUGGACUGUAACUGACGUUGAGGCUCGAAAGCGUGGGGAGCUAAAAGGAUUAGAUACCCUGGUAGUCCACGCGGUA
RNAcentral lists this ribosomal RNA (730 nucleotides) under uncultured bacterium. RNAcentral's name for it is "bacterial SSU rRNA". It matches the Rfam family "Bacterial small subunit ribosomal RNA", at positions 63 to 804 of the family's 1533-position model. The record is from RNAcentral.